This 324-nucleotide ribosomal RNA is filed under the name uncultured eukaryote. RNAcentral's name for it is "partial 18S ribosomal RNA". It matches the Rfam family "Eukaryotic small subunit ribosomal RNA", at positions 1470 to 1796 of the family's 1831-position model. The record is from RNAcentral.
CCCUUUGAUGUUCUGGGCCGCACGCGCGCUACACUGACGGAGUCAACGAGUUGUCCUGCAUCGGAAGGUGUGGGUAAUCUUUUGAAACUUCGUCGUGCUGGGGAUAGAUCUUUGCAAUUUUCGAUCUUGAACGAGGAAUUCCUAGUAAGCGUGAUUCAUCAGAUCGCGUUGAUUACGUCCCUGCCCUUUGUACACACCGCCCGUCGCUACUACCGAUUGAAUGGUUUAGUGAGGCCUCGGGACUGGCGCGCUCGAGUAGCAAUACACCUGCGCGCCGGGAACUUGGUCAAACUUGAUCAUUUAGAGGAAGUAAAAGUCGUAACA